GAUGAACGCUGGCGGCGUGCCUAAUACAUGCAAGUCGAGCGAAUGGAUUAAGAGCUUGCUCUUAUGAAGUUAGCGGCGGACGGGUGAGUAACACGUGGGUAACCUGCCCAUAAGACUGGGAUAACUCCGGGAAACCGGGGCUAAUACCGGAUAACAUUUUGAACCGCAUGGUUCGAAAUUGAAAGGCGGCUUCGGCUGUCACUUAUGGAUGGACCCGCGUCGCAUUAGCUAGUUGGUGAGGUAACGGCUCACUAAGGCAACGAUGCGUAGCCGGCCUGGGAGGGUGAUCGGCCACACUGGGACUGAGACAGGGCCCAGACUCCUACGGGAGGCAGCAGUAGGGAGUCUUCCGCAAUGGACGAAAGUCUGACGGAGCAACGCCGCGUCAGUGAUGAAGGCUUUCGGGUCGUAAAACUCUGUUGUUAGGGAAGAACAAGUGCUAGUUGAACAAGCUGGCACCUUGACGGUACCUAACCAGAAAGCCACGGCUAACUACGUGCCAGCCGCCGCCGUAA
RNAcentral lists this ribosomal RNA (515 nucleotides) under uncultured bacterium. RNAcentral describes it as "partial 16S ribosomal RNA". It matches the Rfam family "Bacterial small subunit ribosomal RNA", at positions 28 to 523 of the family's 1533-position model. The record is from RNAcentral.